Heteronotia binoei (common prickly gecko) is the source of this 203-nucleotide small nucleolar RNA. RefSeq annotates it as small nucleolar RNA SNORA74. The transcript has a single exon. NCBI's taxonomy places the organism in Eukaryota, Metazoa, Chordata, Lepidosauria, Squamata, Gekkonidae. The record is from RefSeq and is a predicted model, not a curated record.
ACCAGCGGUAGUCAGCUGUCCUUGACACUACCAUGUCUGUGACAGUGUUACACAACUGGGAGAUAAAAGUACUGUCCACUAGCUGUUUGUCAUUGGCUCUGUUCUGGAGGCAUCUGACACCAGUGUGGGAGCAGUCUUGUGCUUCUCUGAGAGUGUGCUGAGCAGCCAACACCCUGCUCAGUGCUAGUCUGAAAGCAUACACA